UAAGCGACUAAGCGUACACGGUGGAUGCCCUGGCAGUCAGAGGCGAUGAAGGACGUGCUAAUCUGCGAUAAGCGUCGGUAAGGUGAUAUGAACCGUUAUAACCGGCGAUUUCCGAAUGGGGAAACCCAGUGUGUUUCGACACACUAUCAUUAACUGAAUCCAUAGGUUAAUGAGGCGAACCGGGGGAACUGAAACAUCUAAGUACCCCGAGGAAAAGAAAUCAACCGAGAUUCCCCCAGUAGCGGCGAGCGAACGGGGAGGAGCCCAGAGCCUGAAUCAGUGUGUGUGUUAGUGGAAGCGUCUGGAAAGGCGCGCGAUACAGGGUGACAGCCCCGUACACAAAAAUGCACAUGCUGUGAGCUCGAUGAGUAGGGCGGGACACGUGGUAUCCUGUCUGAAUAUGGGGGGACCAUCCUCCAAGGCUAAAUACUCCUGACUGACCGAUAGUGAACCAGUACCGUGAGGGAAAGGCGAAAAGAACCCCGGCGAGGGGAGUGAAAAAGAACCUGAAACCGUGUACGUACAGGCAGUGGGAGCACAGAGCAAUCUGUGUGACUGCGUACCUUUUGUAUAAUGGGUCAGCGACUUAUAUUCUGUAGCAAGGUUAACCGAAUAGGGGAGCCGAAGGGAAACCGAGUCUUAACUGGGCGUUAAGUUGCAGGGUAUAGACCCGAAACCCGGUGAUCUAGCCAUGGGCAGGUUGAAGGUUGGGUAACACUAACUGGAGGACCGAACCGACUAAUGUUGAAAAAUUAGCGGAUGACUUGUGGCUGGGGGUGAAAGGCCAAUCAAACCGGGAGAUAGCUGGUUCUCCCCGAAAGCUAUUUAGGUAGCGCCUCGUGAAUUCAUCUCCGGGGGUAGAGCACUGUUUCGGCAAGGGGGUCAUCCCGACUUACCAACCCGAUGCAAACUGCGAAUACCGGAGAAUGUUAUCACGGGAGACACACGGCGGGUGCUAACGUCCGUCGUGAAGAGGGAAACAACCCAGACCGCCAGCUAAGGUCCCAAAGUCAUGGUUAAGUGGGAAACGAUGUGGGAAGGCCCAGACAGCCAGGAUGUUGGCUUAGAAGCAGCCAUCAUUUAAAGAAAGCGUAAUAGCUCACUGGUCGAGUCGGCCUGCGCGGAAGAUGUAACGGGGCUAAACCAUGCACCGAAAGCUGCGGCAGCGACACUGUGUGUUGUUGGGUAGGGGAGCGUUCUGUAAGCCUGUGAAGGUGUACUGUGAGGAUGCUGGAGGUAUCAGAAGUGCGAAUGCUGACAUAAGUAACGAUAAAGCGGGUGAAAAGCCCGCUCGCCGGAAGACCAAGGGUUCCUGUCCAACGUUAAUCGGGGCAGGGUGAGUCGACCCCUAAGGCGAGGCCGAAAGGCGUAGUCGAUGGGAAACAGGUUAAUAUUCCUGUACUUGGUGUUACUGCGAAGGGGGGACGGAGAAGGCUAUGUUGGCCGGGCGACGGUUGUCCCGGUUUAAGCGUGUAGGCUGGUUUUCCAGGCAAAUCCGGAAAAUCAAGGCUGAGGCGUGAUGACGAGGCACUACGGUGCUGAAGCAACAAAUGCCCUGCUUCCAGGAAAAGCCUCUAAGCAUCAGGUAACAUCAAAUCGUACCCCAAACCGACACAGGUGGUCAGGUAGAGAAUACCAAGGCGCUUGAGAGAACUCGGGUGAAGGAACUAGGCAAAAUGGUGCCGUAACUUCGGGAGAAGGCACGCUGAUAUGUAGGUGAAGUCCCUCGCGGAUGGAGCUGAAAUCAGUCGAAGAUACCAGCUGGCUGCAACUGUUUAUUAAAAACACAGCACUGUGCAAACACGAAAGUGGACGUAUACGGUGUGACGCCUGCCCGGUGCCGGAAGGUUAAUUGAUGGGGUCAGCGCAAGCGAAGCUCUUGAUCGAAGCCCCGGUAAACGGCGGCCGUAACUAUAACGGUCCUAAGGUAGCGAAAUUCCUUGUCGGGUAAGUUCCGACCUGCACGAAUGGCGUAAUGAUGGCCAGGCUGUCUCCACCCGAGACUCAGUGAAAUUGAACUCGCUGUGAAGAUGCAGUGUACCCGCGGCAAGACGGAAAGACCCCGUGAACCUUUACUAUAGCUUGACACUGAACAUUGAGCCUUGAUGUGUAGGAUAGGUGGGAGGCUUUGAAGUGUGGACGCCAGUCUGCAUGGAGCCGACCUUGAAAUACCACCCUUUAAUGUUUGAUGUUCUAACGUGGACCCGUGAUCCGGGUUGCGGACAGUGUCUGGUGGGUAGUUUGACUGGGGCGGUCUCCUCCUAAAGAGUAACGGAGGAGCACGAAGGUUGGCUAAUCCUGGUCGGACAUCAGGAGGUUAGUGCAAUGGCAUAAGCCAGCUUGACUGCGAGCGUGACGGCGCGAGCAGGUGCGAAAGCAGGUCAUAGUGAUCCGGUGGUUCUGAAUGGAAGGGCCAUCGCUCAACGGAUAAAAGGUACUCCGGGGAUAACAGGCUGAUACCGCCCAAGAGUUCAUAUCGACGGCGGUGUUUGGCACCUCGAUGUCGGCUCAUCACAUCCUGGGGCUGAAGUAGGUCCCAAGGGUAUGGCUGUUCGCCAUUUAAAGUGGUACGCGAGCUGGGUUUAGAACGUCGUGAGACAGUUCGGUCCCUAUCUGCCGUGGGCGCUGGAGAACUGAGGGGGGCUGCUCCUAGUACGAGAGGACCGGAGUGGACGCAUCACUGGUGUUCGGGUUGUCAUGCCAAUGGCACUGCCCGGUAGCUAAAUGCGGAAGAGAUAAGUGCUGAAAGCAUCUAAGCACGAAACUUGCCCCGAGAUGAGUUCUCCCUGACCCUUUAAGGGUCCUGAAGGAACGUUGAAGACGACGACGUUGAUAGGCCGGGUGUGUAAGCGCAGCGAUGCGUUGAGCUAACCGGUACUAAUGAACCGUGAGGCUUAACCU
This 2901-nucleotide ribosomal RNA is filed under the name Escherichia coli DEC3A. RNAcentral's name for it is "bacterial LSU rRNA". It matches the Rfam family "Bacterial large subunit ribosomal RNA". Lineage: Bacteria; Pseudomonadati; Pseudomonadota; Gammaproteobacteria; Enterobacterales; Enterobacteriaceae. The record is from RNAcentral.